Molecule: non-coding RNA, 2980 nt
Organism: Sus scrofa (pig)
Lineage: Eukaryota; Metazoa; Chordata; Mammalia; Artiodactyla; Suidae
Source: RefSeq, a predicted model, not a curated record
GUGUCGGGUUUCUGGAGAAGCCAAUCAGCGCCACCGCGGUUCGCGGUUCUAAACUCUCCAUCCAUUCGCCUCGACUCCGCUUCUCUCCAGACUCCGAGGCUGAGGAUCAUGGGGCCCCGAGCCCUCUUCUUGCUGCUGUCGGGGACCCUGGCCCUGACUGGUACCCGGGAGGGUCCCCACUCCCUGAGGUAUUUCGACACCGCCGUGUCCCGGCCCGACCGCGGGAAGCCCCGUUUCAUCUCCGUCGGCUACGUGGACGACACGCAGUUCGUGCGGUUCGACAGCGACGCCCCGAAUCCGCGGAUGGAGCCGCGGGCGCCGUGGAUAGAGCAGGAGGGGCAGGAGUAUUGGGAUGAGGAGACGCGGAACGCCAUGGGCAGCGCACAGACUUUCCGAGUGAACCUGAACAACCUGCGCGGCUACUACAACCAGAGCGAGGCCGGGUCUCACACCUUCCAGAGCAUGUACGGCUGCGACGUGGGGCCAGACGGGCUCCUCCUCCGCGGGUACAGUCAGUUUGGCUACGACGGCGCCGAUUACAUCGCCCUGAACGAGGACCUGCGCUCCUGGACCGCGGCGGACACGGCGGCUCAGAUCACCAAGCGCAAGAGGGAGGCGGCCGAUGCGGCGGAGCAAAUGAGAAGCUACCUGGAGGGCGCGUGUGUGGUGUGGCUCCAGAAAUACCUGGAGAUGGGGAAUAACACGCUGCAGCGCGCAGAGCCUCCAAAGACACAUGUGACCCGCCACCCCAGCUCUGACCUGGGGGUCACCCUGAGGUGCUGGGCCCUGGGCUUCUACCCUAAGGAGAUCUCCCUGACCUGGCAGCGCGAGGGCCAGGACCAGAGCCAAGACAUGGAGCUGGUGGAGACCAGGCCCUCAGGGGAUGGGACCUUCCAGAAGUGGGCGGCCCUGGUGGUGCCUCCUGGAGAGGAGCAGAGCUACACCUGCCAUGUGCAGCACGAGGGCCUGCAGGAGCCCCUCACCCUGAGAUGGGACCCUCCUCAGCCCCCCGUCCCCAUCGUGGGCAUCACUGUUGGCCUGGUUCUCGUCCUGGUUGCUGGAGCCGUGGUGGCUGGAGUUGUGAUCUGGAGGAAGAAGCGCUCAGGUAGGGAAGGGAGUGGGGAUCUGAGUCUCCUUGUCUCACUGGGGUUUCAAGCCCAGGUGGAAGUUGACCUGCCUUAUUCCUGGGACAUCCCCUCCACACACAUGUGCUGAGUCUGGGGCUGAGCGCUGCCACGUACCCUUCUGUGAAGCACAUGUGAUAGUCAAAGACUAAUUAUUCCCCAGGAUAAUUCCAGUUGGCGUCUAGUUUCUCAGCACUUGAAGGUCAGAGGUGAAGGACCCCACUGAGGAGAGGCGUCCAGGAGGGCAGUUGGUCCAGUCUCCCCCACAUCUCCUUGCUGUAUACUCCUGAUCCUGUCCUGGAUUUUUGUUGAAAGUUCUACACUGGUUGUGAGAUCCAGGACUAGGUUUCUUGUAGGAUCUUAUGGCUCAGUUUUCUUUUUGGCCUCUCACAUAAAUGUUAUCUUCCCCCAGGUGAAAAAGGAGGGAGCUACACUCAGGCUGCAGGCAGUGACAGUGCCCAGGGCUCUGAUGUGUCCCUCACCAAGGAUCCUAGAGUGUGAGACAGCUGCCUUGUGGGGACUAAGGGACACAAGAUUUGUUCACGUCCCACUUUGUGACUUCAGACCCCCUGACUCCUAUUUCUGCAGCUGCCUCUGAAAGGGUCUGUGUUCCUAUGAGCAUCCUGAGAGGAGGUGGGGACCCUGGCCCAGCCCUGCCCCCCAUGUCCCCUCUUCACCCUGACCUGUGUUCUCUUUCCUGAUCCACUUUCCAGCUCCAACAGGUUGGGGGGAGGCAGGCGGCAAUGGACCAUCUCCAUCCUUAUGCUAAGUUCAUUGCCCUGACUGGUGACUGCGGGGAGCCGAGGAAACACAGGAGGCCAAGGAAGGGAACUAGCCUGACGGCACAGUUCCAAAGGCAGGGUUCCUAACCAAGGGAAAAGAGCCUACCCACCGGCGCAGUUCCAAGGGUAGGUUUAGAAAUAGGGAAAGGGGCUUACCCAGUGGCACAGUUCCAAGGGCAAGUUAUAAAAAUAAUGAGGCUCACCUGCUAACCCGACUACAACGGCAACAAUAACAAAACGAAGGUUUUGCACAAUAGUGCAAGAAUAAAAAUUGCUUCUUGGAAAAUUCAGUCUUUCCUGUUGUUUACUUAUUACUCAGCCUUUUCUGUUAUUUGUUUGUUAUUCUUUGUUAUUUUUCUAUAUUGUUUUGUGAUUCAGUAAAAUUGGAACAACAAAAAUUGGAAUGAGUUUCACCUUGGUGAAAUUCCCCCUAUUCAGAUCUAAUACAAGCAAAAACAAAGUGUUCACUGGUUUGUUACAAGUAAAAAUAGGUUUUAGAGUUAGGUAUUUGUGGAGUGUACAAUAGGUUAGAAUAGGUUAGACAUACAUCAUUCUUGAUGGAAAAUAUAAUCUUGCUUUUAAUAAGUUUUGUAGGGAGCUUUUAAGUUUUAUGAAAUUAAGUUGCUUUGAUAUAUAAAAUAUUUUCUCAUACUGUCCCCUGACUGUAAUACCUUGAAGUUAGUACCUUAAGCUUUAAUCUAAAAAAUGAGUUUUUGUAAAUGUUAAAUUCUUGUACUUGUGACCUUUCUAGUUGUUAAAGAUUAGCUUAAAACAAUAACGGGUGGUGCUUGCUAAAAGUAACCACAAGCCGUUUUAUACUGAAUUGCCUUAUUUUUAUAUAAUGAUUUUUCAGCAUAAUGUUUUGUACCCAUUAUAAUUUUACAUGAUGCAUUGUAUCCAUUAGUUUUAACUAAAAUUCUUAGAGCACAAUGUGUAUCUACUGUACCACAUAGUCUAAAAUUUAACCUUUGAAAGUAUGAUGUAAACAUUGUGAUGUAAGUUACAGUUAAGCUGUCUAUAUAAACUGUUACCUAUACUAAUAAAAUUUGAGCAGUCCAGCGCCUUGAGAGAAGG